AGAGUUUGAUCAUGGCUCAGGACGAACGCUGGCGGCGUGCUUAACACAUGCAAGUCGAACGGAAAGGCCCUUCGGGGUACUCGAGUGGCGAACGGGUGAGUAGCACGUGGGUGAUCUGCCCUGCACUUUGGGAUAAGCCUGGGAAACUGGGUCUAAUACCGAAUAGGACCACGCGCUUCAUGGUGUGUGGUGGAAAGCUUUUGCGGUGUGGGAUGGGCCCGCGGCCUAUCAGCUUGUUGGUGGGGUAAUGGCCUACCGAGGCGACGACGGGUAGCCGGCCUGAGAGGGUGACCGGCCACACUGGGACUGAGAUACGGCCCAGACUCCUACGGGAGGCAGCAGUGGGGAAUAUUGCACAAUGGGCGCAAGCCUGAUGCAGCGACGCCGCGUGAGGGAUGACGGCCUUCGGGUUGUAAACCUCUUUCAAUAGGGACGAAGCGUAAGUGACGGUACCUAUAGAAGAAGCACCGGCCAGCUACGUGCCAGCAGCCGCGGUAAUACGUAGGGUGCGAGCGUUGUCCGGAAUUACUGGGCGUAAAGAGCUCGUAGGUGGUUUGUCGCGUUGUUCGUGAAAACUCACAGCUUAACUGUGGGCGUGCGGGCGAUACGGGCAGACUAGAGUACUGCAGGGGAGACUGGAAUUCCUGGUGUAGCGGUGGAAUGCGCAGAUAUCAGGAGGAACACCGGUGGCGAAGGCGGGUCUCUGGGCAGUAACUGACGCUGAGGAGCGAAAGCGUGGGGAGCGAACAGGAUUAGAUACCCCGGUAGUCC
RNAcentral lists this ribosomal RNA (771 nucleotides) under uncultured bacterium. RNAcentral describes it as "bacterial SSU rRNA". It matches the Rfam family "Bacterial small subunit ribosomal RNA", at positions 8 to 796 of the family's 1533-position model. The record is from RNAcentral.